UUAUUUUGUUUUAUUUGGGAUUUUUGUCUUGCCUAGUCGCUUUUGUGCAUUGCUUUUUUUAUCUUGAUGGUUCUUUAUCUGUAGAGAAAAUCGCUUUCUCACCAUUUUUGGGGAUAUGAAGUUGGAAUUAUUCCCAUUCUUUCUAUUGCUAUAAUUUUCAAAACUGCAAAUGUUUGUGUUCCUUCUUAACAAAGGCCUUCAGUAGUGUUUAAUGAUAUAUUUAACUUGCACAUUUCAUCUACUGUUAUACAUGGCAGAAACUAUAAAGAAACUUAGAAACUCUUUCUAGGGGGCUUUUGGAUAUGCCCUAGAUUUCUGAAAUGUAGUGUUAAUUAUAAAUACUUCUCUUUAGUCAAGCUCAAAGUUAAAGCUAGUUCGGAGCCUUGCAGUGUGUGAAGAAUCUCCACCACCCCCUGCACCAGAGAUAUCACAGGAGAACCAGGAGAAAAUUCAGAUCCAGUUAACACAAUCAUUUGAGAAAGAAGAGAAGCCCUCAAAAGAUGAAGCAGAAAAAGAAAAGGCCAGUGAUAAGUUGCCCAGAAAAAUGUUAUCAAGAGAUUCCAGUCAAGAAUACACUGAUUCAACUGGCAUAGAUCUACAUGAAUUUUUAGUAAAUACAUUAAAAAACAAUCCCAGGGACAGAAUGAUGCUGCUGAAAUUGGAACAAGAAAUUUUAGAUUUCAUUGGUAAUAAUGAGUCUCCACGUAAAAAAUUCCCCCCAAUGACAUCUUACCAUAGGAUGCUAUUACACAGAGUAGCCGCUUACUUUGGAUUAGACCACAAUGUUGAUCAGAGUGGGAAGUCUGUCAUAGUAAACAAAACUAGCAAUACAAGAAUGGAGAUUACCCGCUCCAGCCUUGAAUCAGUGGUGUUAUGGAUGUCAACAACCCAGUGUCCACUGGGGUGUCUCAAUGGAGCGGGAAGUUGGCGAUUACAGGGCAGUAAAUUCAGGCAUCUAUAAAAGAAUGAGACCUGAUCAGAAAUUUAAUGAACAUAUUAAGGAUGAUAAAGGUGAAGACUUUCAGAAACGUUAUAUCCUCAAGAGAGAUAACUCUAGCUUUGACAAAGAUGAUAACCAGAUGAGAAUACGUUUGAAAGAUGACAGAAGAAGCAAAUCUAUAG
Molecule: long non-coding RNA, 1122 nt
Filed under: Homo sapiens (human)
Lineage: Eukaryota; Metazoa; Chordata; Mammalia; Primates; Hominidae
Description: long non-coding RNA NONHSAT182704.1
Source: RNAcentral